UAUAAAACUCUUGAAUGGGAGGCUUUGGCACUUGGAGCACAGCUCGGGAUGUUAGGGCGGGUUUUUAUGGAGACGAUUCACGGAACUGCUGAGGCUGGUGGUGGAGAACCCAGACUGUUAUGACUCAUUUGUCUUUUUAUUGCGCGGGACCAAGAGCUGUUGUUUCCUUUUAAGUCCCUCUGUGGAGCUGAGCUCCAGCUAAGGGCAAGAUAACUCUUUCAGGAAGACAGUGCGGCUUUAGUGCCUGUGAACAGGAAUAGUGUGCUGUGGGGCCCCGGGUCAAGUGUACUGGACAAGCAAGGGAAGAUUUUUUUUUUUUUAACCAUGAGGCAGAAUUUCUUUUGGAAACCAGAACAUCCUUUAAGUCUUCAGCUUUAGACAAGCUUUCCUUUUCUUCUGUUGACCGCUUUCUUUCCCCGAAAGCCUAAGCCAAAUGGGGUUGUGCAGCAAAGAGAAAGGAGGUAGAUGCCAUCAUGGAGAGGCUUGAUGAUGAGGUACCAGUGGUGACUUCUGGUCAACACAUAUCGAAACCCCGUGACCUUCGACCCAGCAGCAUCCAUGUCCUGGAUCCUGUCAACAACUGUGAGGCGGUGUUGAGAUGGUUUAGCAGGUAAAGGCACUUGCCACCAACCCAGAAGACCUGAGUUUAAUCCCUAGGACCCACAAGUGUAAGGAGAGAACCUACAUUUCAUGUUGUCCUCUGAUCUCCACAUACAUGGACUGUGGUCAUUUGUACAAACUAAAUAAACUUAAAAAAAUGUAAUAAAAUUUUGACAGGCAGUGGUGGCAUACUGCUUUAAUCCCUGCACUUGGAAAGCAGAGGCAGGCAGAUCUCUGA
Long non-coding RNA from Myodes glareolus (Bank vole), 838 nucleotides. RefSeq lists it as uncharacterized. Lineage: Eukaryota; Metazoa; Chordata; Mammalia; Rodentia; Cricetidae. The record is from RefSeq and is a predicted model, not a curated record.